AUUCUUCAGACAACCUAAUUUUGCAUUACGCUUUGGUAAUUUAAUCACAUAUACUUGGAGAUUGAAGAAGCAUGGAAAGGGAGGCAAGCUAUUGGAAGAACAUUGAUAUAGGGUUCAGACUCUUGGAAUCAUAGUUUUUGAACAAUUUCAUUGGGAUGGCAAGAAAUAGACACAAGAGAUUCUAGUCAAGGUGGUCUCUUUCCAAUUCUUCGGAGCAACAAGAACAACAAAUGGGAGGUACAACAAUGCCUAACCACCUCAAAACGGGCCAACAAGCAGAGUAUGGGUGUUACAAUUGACUCAAAAUAGUAAAUCGAUCAGUAAUGAGCAGGUUUUCAAUAAAUCAAUUGAAGAUCGCCAGCAGUCAUUAUUACCAAUUUCUAUUGUUCACACAAAUAAGGUAAACAAAAUUAAGAAGAACGAAACUAAUAAACUUGGGACGAAGAAAAAGAAAUGA
Non-coding RNA from Nicotiana tabacum (common tobacco), 457 nucleotides. Lineage: Eukaryota; Viridiplantae; Streptophyta; Magnoliopsida; Solanales; Solanaceae. The record is from RefSeq and is a predicted model, not a curated record.